AUACCUUGUGGAGGUCACACCUCGAUCCUGAAGGUCAUUGUCUCUAUGAGGCUUAUCCAUUGCUCUUGGGAUGUGCUGCCCCUGUGAUAUUCCCAAACACGGUAAGCUCAACUACACAAUCCCUGGUCAGUCUCAGAGGACUGUGCUCUCUCU
Molecule: small nuclear RNA, 153 nt
Filed under: Mus pahari (shrew mouse)
Lineage: Eukaryota; Metazoa; Chordata; Mammalia; Rodentia; Muridae
Description: predicted gene, 22082 (MGP_PahariEiJ_G0033142.1)
Rfam family: U1 spliceosomal RNA
About the family: U1 is a small nuclear RNA (snRNA) component of the spliceosome (involved in pre-mRNA splicing). Its 5' end forms complementary base pairs with the 5' splice junction, thus defining the 5' donor site of an intron. There are significant differences in sequence and secondary structure between metazoan and yeast U1 snRNAs, the latter being much longer (568 nucleotides as compared to 164 nucleotides in human).
Source: RNAcentral